CACCUGGUUUAUCAAAAACAUCUCUUUAUGAUUAAAAUAUAAAGUUUAACCUGCCCACUGAAAUUUAAAUGGCUGCAGUAUAUUGACUGUACAAAGGUAGCAUAAUCAUUAGUUUUUUAAUUGAAAACUGGAAUGAAUGGUUGGAUGAAAUAUAAACUGUUUUAUAAAAAAUUUAAUAGAAUUUUAUUUUUUAGUAAAAAAGCUAAAAUAAAUUUAAAAGACGAGAAGACCCUAUAAAUCUUUAUAUAAUAAUAUAAAAAUAAAUUAUUUAGAAGAUUUAAUUAUUUUAUUUUAUUAUAUUUUAUUGGGGAGAUAGUAAAAUUUAAUGAACUUUUAUUUUUUAUAUCAUUAAUUUAUGAAUUAUAGAUUAAUUAUUAAUGCAUAAUAAAAUAAGUUACUUUAGGGAUAACAGCGUAAUUAUUUUGGAGAGUUCAUAUCGAUAAAAUAGAUUGCGACCUCGAUGUUGGAUUAAAAUAAUUUUUUGGG
Molecule: ribosomal RNA, 486 nt
Filed under: Nycteribiidae sp. LRC-2002
Lineage: Eukaryota; Metazoa; Arthropoda; Insecta; Diptera; Nycteribiidae
Description: partial 16S ribosomal RNA
Source: RNAcentral